GAUGAACGCUGGCGGCGUGCCUAAUACAUGCAAGUCGAGCGAACGGACGAGAAGCUUGCUUCUCUGAUGUUAGCGGCGGGCGGGGGAGUAACACGUGGAUAACCUACCUAUAAGACUGGGAUAACUUCGGGAAACCGUAGCUAAUACCGGAUAAUAUUUUGAACCGCUUGGUUCAAAAGUGAAAGACGGUCUUGCUGUCACUUAUAGAUGGAUCCGCGCUGCAUUAGCUAGUUGGUAAGGUAACGGCUUACCAAGGCAACGAUGCAUAGCCGACCUGAGAGGGUGAUCGGCCACACUGGAACUGAGACACGGUCCAGACUCCUACGGGAGGCAGCAGUAGGGAAUCUUCCGCAAUGGGCGAAAGCCUGACGGAGCAACGCCGCGUGAGUGAUGAAGGUCUUCGGAUCGUAAAACUCUGUUAUUAGGGAAGAACAUAUGUGUAAGUAACUGUGCACAUCUUGACGGUACCUAAUCAGAAAGCCACGGCUAACUACGUG
This 497-nucleotide ribosomal RNA is filed under the name uncultured bacterium. Its description in RNAcentral is "partial 16S ribosomal RNA". It matches the Rfam family "Bacterial small subunit ribosomal RNA", at positions 28 to 507 of the family's 1533-position model. The record is from RNAcentral.